AAAAUUCAUUGAUUCAAAAAGAAGAUACAUGCCUCCUUUAUAUAGGAAUGGCUUAAGAUGAUGAAAUAAGUAAAAAAUAACUCAUAAGAAAACAAAAGGGUUUCAACCACUAAUUAUCAUGAUAGUGGGUUGAGUUAUUACAAAGAAAGUGCAAAAUAAAGAAGAGAUAGUGGGGUUCUUGAAAGGGCAGAAUAAUGGCAAUUCUUUAUUUACCACUUCUCUUGUAAUUUUCGUCCAUUAUAGUGUGGUUAUUGGUAUUUCCUUUAUUUUUAUUUAUUUAUGCAUUAUUGGGCCUUUUAUCACAUGCUUGGAUGAUAAGAAUAAACCUGGGCUCUUUUUCUUCAAUCUGGCCCAUGCAUUCUAUUGACUUGAUCAUGAAGUGAACUAAAGCAUCAUUGACUCUUCUUUCACGUGCCCUUGUCAUAGGACCUCCUAAGUCUUGCAUUGUAUCAUUUCUGUCUUGGAUUACGUCCUCAUCAUUCCCUCCUUCUUGAAAAGAAUUCGACCUCGAAUUUAGACCAUCAUCACCUACAUCAAAAGGAGAUAAAUCAGCCACAUUAAAAGUAGUACGUACCCCAUACUCACCUGGAAGUUCUAUUUUGUAGGCAUUGUCAUUGAUCCUUGAAAGUACUUGAAAUGGUCCAUCUCCCCUAGGUUGAAGUUUGGACUUCCUUUGUGAAGAGGCUAACAACACUGACCAGAGAAUAACAAUGGUCGGAGUGCGGUUUUGUCGACCCAUGAGACCCUUUAGGAAUGGAUAGAGAUGAAAAAUCACCCAAAAGGCAAAGAAAA
Long non-coding RNA from Lathyrus oleraceus (garden pea), 792 nucleotides. RefSeq lists it as uncharacterized. The transcript has 2 exons. The record is from RefSeq and is a predicted model, not a curated record. NCBI's taxonomy places the organism in Eukaryota, Viridiplantae, Streptophyta, Magnoliopsida, Fabales, Fabaceae.